GUUUUUCUUUUCUUUUCUUUUUUUCUCCUGUAAUAAUAAUCGUUUGAUGACUCAAUUUCUCUGAUAAUAUUGGGCGAAUUAUCUGACAAGACCGUUAUGUACUAAUAAGGAAAAUUUUAAAGCUAGCUCUGGGCUGUCUAGCUCCUAGUUUAUGGAAAUGAAAGUUCAUGCCUAGCUGCUAUUUAUUGCUGAUUCCUCUUGAGGCAUAUAUGCUUGAGUAUUAAUGCAGCUAUCUAAUUUUUCAUUAGCUUGUAAAUGGCAUUCUUCCGGGCAUUUUGGAAUAGUCCUAUUGGUCCUAAAACAACUCAUUUUUGGGGUCCUGUUUUCAACUGGAGCAUCCCAAUUGCAGCAUUUGUUGACACAAAGAAACCCCCAGAAAUGAUAUCUGGCAACAUGACGGCAGUAAUGUGUGUUUAUUCAGCAAUGUUCAUGAGAUUUGCUUGGAUGGUACAGCCUCGAAACUUGCAUCUUCUUGUAUGCCAUGUCUCCAAUGAAACAGUGCAGCUUUAUCAGCUUUCGCGUUGGAUAAAGGCUAGAGGAUCCUUGCAGCAGGAGAAAGAGGAACAAGCUAAAGGACAGUGAUCCACAGAUUAUCUGUUAUAAUUUAUGCUAUCUUUUUUCACUUGUUCUGAUAAUGUAAAACUAUACUUCUUUUUCUUUGGGAUUUUUUUUUUUUUAAUUCCAAUCAAGCAAUGAAAAGUUUAUUGGAAUUUCUCUCUUAUUAAUGUGUUUUCAUGAGCAUUUAAUUUGGUGUGAUAGUGAGGAGGAUAGAAAAUGGUUUAUGGAAGCUAUGCAAGCGCAGAGUGUUGAUGUCAUUAAACGUAUGAAGGAGAUAACCCUUGUCAUGCAAACCCCAGAGCAGGUCUUGGAGGCUCAAAGAGUUACUCCUGCUGAUAUUGAAGAUAUGCUGGAGGAACUUCAAGAGCAUGUCGAGUCUAUUGACAUGGCUAAUGGUAAGCUUUCCAGUUUUAAUUUAGUUACUAGAUGAAAGUUGCUCUUAUCUCUGUCGUUCCUCUUGCUGUUGUAAUGAGUUGUAAUGUAUGUCGCAGUUUAAAACUUUAUGGUUCACCAUGCUGUUUGUAAGUUUGAGGAGUUUUUGUUUGAAACAUUAUGGUAUCCUUUAAGCCUAGCAGCAAGACGUCAGUGUACUCGUGGAGGAUCCAUUCCUUCUAAACUCUGUUCCUAUCUUUACUUACCUUCAAAAUUGGCUUAUCAAUUUGUCACUGAAUGUCACUGUUUCAUUUAAUAAAAAGAAGAGUUUUUCUUAGUUUUUUUUCCUAAUUAUGCUUAUGUGACAGAUCUUCAUUCUAUUGGUGGUCUGGUUCCUCUCCUUGGUUAUCUGAAGAACUCCCAUGCCAACAUUCGGGCAAAGGCUGCAGACGUUGUAACCACCAUUGUCCAGAAUAAUCCCCGUAGUCAGCAAUUGGUUAUGGAAGCAAAUGGCUUAGAACCUCUUCUUUCUAAUUUCACAUCAGACCCAGAUGUGACUGUUCGGACCAAAGCACUCGGGGCAAUUUCCUGUAAGUGCUGCUUUUAGCUUUAUAUUGAUUAUGGUUGUUGUGCACUGGUUAUGUUUUCCCUGCAUUCGUGGCUUGGAACUUUGGAAAGAUAUUAAAGUGAGUUAUUUGUUGAUAAUUCCCAGCUUUAAUUCGUCACAACAAGCUAGGUAUUACUGCAUUUCGUCUUGCAAACGGUUAUGCGGGCUUGAGAGAUGCUUUAGGUUCUGAAAGUGUGAGAUUCCAAAGGUACUCCUGGAUUAAUAUUUAGUUAUGCUGUCAUUGUUGUUCUUGUUUGAUGGCAAUCAUAUGGUUCUAGUUACUGGAAAACAAAAGAGAAGAACUUCUUAUGGUUUGACUGAAAAGGUUCUUGUGAUAAGAAACUACAAGCAUAUUGAUGGUGGUGAUCUAGUUUUACCACUGUAAUGAUAUUCAAUUAAUUUUCUGAUAUAAUCAAUUUUUUUGUUUUUUAAUUUUAGGAAAGCUCUCAACUUGAUCCAUUACCUACUGCAUGAGAAUAGUUCGGAUUGCAGUGUAGUGAGUGAGCUAGGGUUCCCACGCAUGUUGUUGCACCUUGCAUCAAGUGAAGAUGCUGAGGUGCGAGAGGCUGCACUUCGGGGCCUUCUUGAGCUUGCUCGAGAUAAGAAAGGUGCAAAUGAUGGCGGAUUAGGGGAAGAAGAUGAGAAACUAAAGCAACUGCUUGAAGAACGGAUCAAGGGUAUCAGCUUGAUGUCAUCUGAAGAUCUCGAGGCAGCUAGAGAGGAGAGGCAACUGGUAGACUCACUCUGGAAUGCCCACUGCAAUGAACCAUCAUCUCUGCGUGAAAAGGGGCUUCUUGUUCUCCCUGGAGAAGAUUCCUUACCACCUGAUGUUGCCAGCAAGCAUUUUGAACCUCCUCUCAGAGCUUGGGCUGCAAAUCAGUCCACAGAUGGCAAUUCCAGUACUGAAAAGAAACAAAUUCCUCUAUUACUAGGAUCGGGUCCCCCACCAGAAGCUGCAAAUGCUCAGGGAACUUCAAGCGCUGAGGUCAAUAUUGAUGAGCAGAACAGUGCCUCAAGAUAAAUCACUAAUGUUGCUCGGGCGUUCUAUUCGCCUACGGUAGUCAUGUAUUUCCGUGUUAUCGUACUGUAGUAUCAUAGAUUUCCAAGUGGCUUCUUUUAGUUUUGGGCUCUUUUUUCCCACUUCUUUUGUACCCAUUUGAAAAUGAUGUCAUGAAUGGUUUUUGUUACCUUAAAUUAACAUGCCUUUAUGAUGUGGAGUAACAAAGAACAAUCAAAAGGGAUAGGUCUCGGACAGGAUUAGAUUCGGCUUGAGUUAAACCCGCAACCAGAGUUUAAGCAUCUUCUCCCAACUCUAAAUCGAAAUUGAAUUGAGAUCGGUUUUACGGAAAAAUUAUUACUUA
RNAcentral lists this unclassified non-coding RNA (2898 nucleotides) under Hevea brasiliensis (rubber tree). The record is from RNAcentral. Lineage: Eukaryota; Viridiplantae; Streptophyta; Magnoliopsida; Malpighiales; Euphorbiaceae.